RNAcentral lists this ribosomal RNA (389 nucleotides) under Ehrlichia sp. RNAcentral describes it as "bacterial SSU rRNA". It matches the Rfam family "Bacterial small subunit ribosomal RNA", at positions 65 to 483 of the family's 1533-position model. The record is from RNAcentral. Lineage: Bacteria; Pseudomonadati; Pseudomonadota; Alphaproteobacteria; Rickettsiales; Anaplasmataceae.
AAUUGCUUAUAACCUUUUGGUUAUAAAUAAUUGUUAGUGGCAGACGGGUGAGUAAUGCGUAGGAAUCUACCUAGUAGUAUGGAAUAGCCAUUAGAAAUGAUGGGUAAUACUGUAUAAUCCCUGCGGGGGAAAGAUUUAUCGCUAUUAGAUGAGCCUACGUUAGAUUAGCUAGUUGGUAAGGUAAUGGCUUACCAAGGCUAUGAUCUAUAGCUGGUCUGAGAGGACGAUCAGCCACACUGGAACUGAGAUACGGUCCAGACUCCUACGGGAGGCAGCAGUGGGGAAUAUUGGACAAUGGGCGAAAGCCUGAUCCAGCUAUGCCGCGUGAGUGAAGAAGGCCUUCGGGUUGUAAAGCUCUUUCAAUAGGGAAGAUAAUGACGGUACCUAUA